UACGGGGGUGGCAAGCGUUGUUCGGAAUUACUGGGCGUAAAGGGCUCGUAGGCGGCCAACUAAGUCAGACGUGAAAUCCCUCGGCUUAACCUGGGAACUGCGUCUGAUACUGGAUGGCUUGAGUUUGGGAGAGGGAUGCGGAAUUCCAGGUGUAGCGGUGAAAUGCGCAGAUAUCGGGAGGAACACCAAUGGCGAAGGCAGCUCGCUGGGACGGUACUGACGCUGAGACGCGAAGGCGAGGGGAGCAAACGGG
This 253-nucleotide ribosomal RNA is filed under the name uncultured bacterium. RNAcentral describes it as "partial 16S ribosomal RNA". It matches the Rfam family "Bacterial small subunit ribosomal RNA", at positions 524 to 776 of the family's 1533-position model. The record is from RNAcentral.